This 500-nucleotide ribosomal RNA is filed under the name uncultured bacterium. RNAcentral describes it as "partial 16S ribosomal RNA". It matches the Rfam family "Bacterial small subunit ribosomal RNA", at positions 30 to 523 of the family's 1533-position model. The record is from RNAcentral.
AUUGAACGCUGGCGGCAGGCCUAACACAUGCAAGUCGAGCGGAUGAAGAGAGCUUGCUCUCUGAUUCAGCGGCGGACGGGUGAGUAAUGCCUAGGAAUCUGCCUGGUAGUGGGGGACAACGUUUCGAAAGGAACGCUAAUACCGCAUACGUCCUACGGGAGAAAGUGGGGGAUCUUCGGACCUCACGCUAUCAGAUGAGCCUAGGUACGAUUAGCUAGUUGGUGAGGUAAAGGCUCACCAAGGCGACGAUCGUUAACUGGUCUGAGAGGAUGCUCAGUCACAAUGGAACUGAGACACGGUCCAGACUCCUACGGGAGGCAGCAGUGGGGAAUAUUGGACAAUGGGCGAAAGCCUGAUCCAGCCAUGCCGCGUGUGUGAAGAAGGUCUUCGGAUUGUAAAGCACUUUAAGUUGGGAGGAAGGGCAGUAAGUUAAUACCUUGCUGUUUUGACGUUACCGACAGAAUAAGCACCGGCUAACUUCGUGCCAGCCGCCGCAGUAA